Molecule: long non-coding RNA, 1308 nt
Organism: Panicum virgatum (switchgrass)
Lineage: Eukaryota; Viridiplantae; Streptophyta; Magnoliopsida; Poales; Poaceae
Exons: 2
Source: RefSeq, a predicted model, not a curated record
CUCCCUCGCGCUGCUCCCCGCCUCCACAACCCCGCUCCCCACCGCCAGCCCCUGCCCACGCCCGCAGCACCGCCGCCACCACCAUUGCUGCCCGUUCCCACCGGCCACCGUGGGCAUGCCUCCUCGCUCCAUCCCAGCUCGAUCUGAGUAGGGGAAUCAAACCCCCUCGACCUCCUCUCCGUUUUGCCCCACACCCCGGCCGCCACCAUGGCCCGAGCUGCCGCCGGCCAGGGCGCCGUCGAGCUCCCCCCUCCCUCCCCUGUUUUGUCUCGAGGUAGAAGAAGGUGAGGGCGGUUUUGCCCAAAACCCCCUCCCUUCUUUUGUAUUUAAUUAAGAGCCCCCCUCUCUAUGUUAUUUUUUUCAAAUAAACCCCCCAUGUUCUCUCUAUUUAGAAAAUGAACCCUUCCACUACACAAAAUAAUUAUGGAUAAGCCCCUGCCCCUUUUUAGAAUAUUUCGGAUAUUUUCCGAAAUUCCAACUAAGUCCUUUUCUCUCCCAGAGAAUUUACAAAGAAGCCCCUCCCUAAUUCCAUAUCAAGAAUUAGCCCGUCCACCAUAUAAACAUAAUUUCAAAUAGACCCCUGCCCCUUUCUGGAAUAACACAAAUAUUUUUAGAAAUUAUAAUCAAGUCCUUCCACUCUAAAAAAUAAUUACAAAGAAGCCCUUGAACCCCGGUUUAGCCCCCUAAACCCCUCUUUAACUCAUCAUUUCAUGCGCAAAAAAUUCUCCAUUCAUCCCUAAAUUUGACCACGCCAAUUCUAAUAUUAUUUUGGCCAUGCCAUUAAAGAAUCUCCCAAAAAUAUUCUUACUACAUAUGUUUCUUAAUUCGAACUCAACGAUAAAAUCUUUAUUUUCCUUUUCUUUAUUGUGUGCUUGUUUGUGUGCGCCGUAGAUCACGGUGUGACCGAGGGAGAGCCCGUCGAGGAGUUUGCCGAGCAGUACCGCGAGCCGAAGUACGAAGGCCAGUACCGUGAGCCAGAGUCCGAGGACCUGUACCGCGAGUAGGAGUUCCCGGAAGGCUUUGGGAAUGAAGAAGAUCCGGACUUUGUUGUUGAAGACGUCGAGUAGAGGUCGCGUCCGAACCCCAACCUUGCCUGUGGUGUUGGCCCUCUGCAAGAUGAUUCUGCUAGCGCAUCACUCUGAGCCCGAGCUGGAGACUGUCUAGGUCGUGCUUUGGUGUAUCACUAUAGCUGUUUUAUUACUUAUUAUCGUUUGCAUCGAGUGUCCGUCUCCUCGGAGGUUUGUACGAUGACUGUACCAUCAAUUGAAUAAAUGUGUUAUCAACCUUCUGGAACUGAUAUUUGUAUCA